CAGCCGCCGCGGUAAUACGGAGGGAGCUAGCGUUGUUCGGAAUUACUGGGCGUAAAGCGCACGUAGGCGGUUAUUCAAGUCAGAGGUGAAAGCCCGGGGCUCAACCCCGGAACUGCCUUUGAAACUAGAUGACUGGAAUCUUGGAGAGGUCAGUGGAAUUCCGAGUGUAGAGGUGAAAUUCGUAGAUAUUCGGAAGAACACCAGUGGCGAAGGCGACUGACUGGACAAGUAUUGACGCUGAGGUGCGAAAGCGUGGGGAGCAAACAGGAUUAGAUACCCGAGUAGUCCCUGUCUCUUAUAC
Molecule: ribosomal RNA, 301 nt
Filed under: uncultured bacterium
Lineage: Bacteria
Description: partial 16S ribosomal RNA
Rfam family: Bacterial small subunit ribosomal RNA
Source: RNAcentral